This 253-nucleotide ribosomal RNA is filed under the name uncultured bacterium. RNAcentral describes it as "partial 16S ribosomal RNA". It matches the Rfam family "Bacterial small subunit ribosomal RNA", at positions 524 to 776 of the family's 1533-position model. The record is from RNAcentral.
UACGGGGGGGGCAAGCGUUGUUCGGAAUUACUGGGCGUAAAGGGCUCGUAGGCGGCCAACUAAGUCCGACGUGAAAUCCCCAGGCUUAACCUGGGAACUGCGUCGGAUACUGGUUGGCUUGAAUCCGGGAGAGGGAUGCGGAAUUCCAGGUGUAGCGGUGAAAUGCGUAGAUAUCUGGAGGAAUACCGGUGGCGAAGGCGGCAUCCUGGACCGACAUUGACGCUGAGGAGCGAAAGCUAGGGGAGCAAACGGG